This 63-nucleotide transfer RNA is filed under the name Staphylinidae sp. BMNH 1274206. Its description in RNAcentral is "tRNA-Pro". The record is from RNAcentral. Lineage: Eukaryota; Metazoa; Arthropoda; Insecta; Coleoptera; Staphylinidae.
CAGAAAAUAGUUUAUAAAAAUAUUAAUUUUGGAGAUUAAAGAUAGGAAAUUUCCUUUUUCUGA